AUACGGAGGGUGCAAGCGUUACUCGGAAUCACUGGGCGUAAAGCGCGCGCAGGCGGUCUUUUAAGUUGGAUGUGAAAGCCUACGGCUCAACCGUAGAACUGCAUCCAAAACUAUUAGACUAGAGUGUGGGAGAGGAAGAUGGAAUUAGUUGUGUAGGGGUAAAAUCCGUAGAGAUAACUAGGAAUACCGAAAGCGAAGGCAAUCUUCUGGAACACUACUGACGCUGAGGCGCGAAAGCGUGGGGAGCAAACAGGAUUAGAAACCCUAGUAGUCC
This 274-nucleotide ribosomal RNA is filed under the name uncultured bacterium. RNAcentral describes it as "partial 16S ribosomal RNA". It matches the Rfam family "Bacterial small subunit ribosomal RNA", at positions 523 to 796 of the family's 1533-position model. The record is from RNAcentral.